GCGGCCGUGGCGGAAUUGGCAGACGCGCAGGCUUCAGGUGCCUGUGUCCUUCGGGACGUGGAGGUUCGACUCCUCUCGGCCGCA
Molecule: transfer RNA, 84 nt
Filed under: Planctomycetales bacterium 4484_123
Lineage: Bacteria; Pseudomonadati; Planctomycetota; Planctomycetia; Planctomycetales
Also listed under: 2 other names
Description: tRNA-Leu
Rfam family: tRNA
About the family: Transfer RNA (tRNA) molecules are approximately 80 nucleotides in length.
Source: RNAcentral